UACGUAGGGGGCUAGCGUUGUCCGGAUUUAUUGGGCGUAAAGAGCGUGUAGGCGGCCAGGUAGGUCUGCUGUGAAAACUCGAGGCUCAACCUCGAGACGUCGGCGGAAACCAUCUGGCUAGAGUCCGGAAGAGGAGUGUGGAAUUCCCGGUGUAGCGGUGAAAUGCGCAGAUAUCGGGAGGAACACCUGUGGCGAAGGCGGCCCCCUGGUUGGAUACUGACGCUGAUACGCGAAAGCGUGGGGAGCAAACAGG
RNAcentral lists this ribosomal RNA (253 nucleotides) under uncultured bacterium. RNAcentral describes it as "partial 16S ribosomal RNA". It matches the Rfam family "Bacterial small subunit ribosomal RNA", at positions 524 to 776 of the family's 1533-position model. The record is from RNAcentral.